UACAGAGGGUGCGAGCGUUAAUCGGAAUUACUGGGCGUAAAGCGUGCGUAGACGGUUAUCUAAGUCGGAUGUGAAAGCCCCGGGCUCAACCUGGGAAUUGCAUUCGAGACUGAAUAGCUAGGGUACGGUAGAGGGAAGUGGAAUUUCCGGUGUAGCGGUGAAAUGCGUAGAUAUCGGAAGGAACAUCAGUGGCGAAAGCGUCUUCCUGGACCAGUACCGACGUUCAGGCACGAAAGCGUGGGGAGCAAACAGG
RNAcentral lists this ribosomal RNA (253 nucleotides) under uncultured bacterium. Its description in RNAcentral is "partial 16S ribosomal RNA". It matches the Rfam family "Bacterial small subunit ribosomal RNA", at positions 524 to 776 of the family's 1533-position model. The record is from RNAcentral.